AAAUCACAGUUAUUUAAAGACGUUCAUUUAAACCUUUUUUUAAAACAGUUUAAACCAUGGAGACACUAGUAGUUGGAUGUCUAAUUUCUGCUGUUGUCGUUUUUAUCCUGGACAGGUUUUAUUUUAAGAAACAAUCAUAUCUGAAAUGGGUGGCGUUGGGAUUUGUAGCAGCAGCAGGUAAAAUAAUUAAAAUUUGAAAUAUAUCGGCUGCCUUUAUCAAUACCUUGCUUCAAAUAUUUCAACUGUUUUAAAGACCAAUUAACGACAGGGGAAAAUAGAGUAUUUUAAUUUUAGUUUCUUGUGUACAAUUUGGAAAUUAGUAUGGCGUUCAUUAUCACUGGAUAGUAAUAUUUGUUAGGGGCCGCUGAGGGACGCCUCCGGGUGCGGGAAUUUCUCGCUACAUUGAAGACCUGUUGGUGACCCUCUGCUGUUGUUUUGUCUAUGGUCGGGUUGUUGUCUCUUUGACACAUUCCCCAUUUCCAUUCUCAAUUUUAUUUAUAGACGAUUUGUGUCUACAUUAUCGACACGAGUUUCAAUUCCGUGUAUUAUAAUGGGUACGAGUUCUACAUAAUGUUUUGCCUAAUAUGUUUCGAAGAGCUUCUAACUGUUUAUUUAUCAGAAUGUUAAAAAAAUCCUAUAUUAUGUGUAAUGACAAUUGAAGUAAGUUACACUCUACACAUUUUGUAAAAUAUUUCUUUUGUACCUAAAUGAUCAAAAUGUUUCAUUUAUGUACCGUCAUUUCCUAAUGUGAUAUUCCUACUUAAUGUUGGUCAUGUUCCUUUCAUAUCAAUUUGAGAUAAGAUUUCAAUGUCCCCUUUUAGUAGAUAAUCAACGAUUGUUAUGUUAUUAAAGAGAGAAAGCAAUGCUGAACUUAAUACGUCUCCAAGAACGUACUUACUGUAUGUUUCAUCUUAUUUGAAAAUUCGCAUUAAAGCUAAAUAUUAUUAAACUAUUAAAUUCUCCAGUCUACAUCUAACCAAGAAAGAUAAAAAAAAAAAAGCUACAUUGCGAUUCGUAAAUGACGACUGGAGAGGGAGAAGUUACACUAUAAUGUGACCAGGAUUAGGUUUGAAAAUAUUUGAAUAAUCUCUUAUAUGUCAUUUUUAUUGAAAAGAUAUAUUACCUUUAAUUGUUUCUUUUGUUCGAAAUUUAAAAGUUCAAUAAACUUAAUUUUCUAGGAAUCUGAGUCAUACUUAAAUCAUAUUUUAAAAGAACACGAUCUGUCUGUUAUUCAAUUAAAUACCUAACAUAUUUGCUGACAUGACUCAAUUUUUGAUAUAUUCCUCAUGUGAUAUGAAUGAUGAUUGUUUAGCAGAAAGGAAAAAAUGAGACCAGGAAAACAUUUUCCUCCUUUGAUUAUCAAUACUAGGUCGUGAAAUAAUAUAGCAAAUUAUUCUGGCUCUCAUUAUUUUUUAUUUGCCCUGUCUAUAUGCCCUUUUGUUCCUCUUUGUUGAUAUAUUUAUUAUUUUGUUAUGUGAUUGAGACUAUAACACAGUACUGGCUUCUGUAAUGUACCUCUAUUUUUUUUUUAUAUUUUUACAUCUUACAAAUGUAACGUUUGUUUGAUUCACACAUUGUUGACAAUAUGAUGGAGUUUCAUAUGAUUGUUAUACAAUGCGAUGGUUAAGGUAGCUAUUAAACCAGGUGUAAUCCACCAUUUGUACACAAAAGAAAUAUCGGUAUCAAGUGUCAGUAAUAUGACAGAUGACAGAUGUUUUCCAUUUGAUCGUUUGAUGUGUUUGAGCUUUUUUUAUUUUGCCAUUAGUAAUAGGAAUUUCCUAUUUUAAUUUUCUUUGAAGUUCCGUAUUUUGUUAUUGUACUUUUAAAGAAUUAUGAACAACUAGAAACAUGGAGACAUCCCUUGUAUUUCAAUAACAAACAAAAAACAAGCUGCUUCUAUUGUUUAUACACUUUACUCCUAUUCUCCUACGUUUUUAUUUAGAUAUAGAUAAAGAUAAAUAAACAUAUAAGUACAUUUGCCCGAAGUAAAUAUUUUCGCAUGUGAUGAUAUAAAAACGAAGAUUUGGUAUGAUUGCCAAUGAGACACUCCCCCACAAGACAACAAAUGAAACAGACAUUAACAACUAUACGUCACCGUACAUCCUACAACAAUAAAGAAAGCCCAUACGGCAUAGUCAGCUAUCAAUGGCCCCGAAAAGAUAAAUGUAAAACGAAUCAAACGAGAAAACUAACGGCCUAGUUCAUGUAAAAAAAAUGAACAAAAAACAAAUAUGUAACACAUCAAAAAACGAAAACCACUGAAUUACAUGCUCCUGACUGUGGCAGAAUGUUGCGGGGUUAAACAUGUUAGCGGGAUACCGACCUUCUCCAUAAUCUUAGACAGUGGUGUAACAGUACAUCAUAAGGAUGAGUCUAUUUUAAAAAUUAUAGCUAGAGAUUCAAUUAAGUUGGUUUUGUUCACAAUUGUCCAAAGAACGUAAGCAACAAUAAAUAUAAAAAGAGGAUAAGGCUUUAUAUGCUUUGGUUUAGCAAAACAACAAUUUUAUACAAACAAAAAAAUUUAGCAAACACAAAAUAGGUUGAACAUUAAUGCAUAUCAAAAUAUGACUGCAAAAGUGAUAGAAAUUCCUCCACUAAUUUAUCCCUCUAUUGUUACUUUCCUGACAUUUUACCGUUUGUGCAUUAUUUUGCGUUCCCAAAGAAUUAAUUGAGGUAUACAAAACGUUAGACAUGCUGGUACCUCCUUUCUACUUUUGUACGGAUUUUUACAAAUAAACACAAAAACACAAAAGCGGUAAUUCAAUACUCAUCAAACGUUUGAAUCUUCAAAAUAUAUAUUGUACAUACAUGUAUGAAUUGACGUACAUGUAUUAUCUAUACUCAGGGCAAAUCAAUAAUUAUGUCUGUUGUUUCUUAUUGCUUAAAUUUGAACUUUGAUAUUCACAGGAAUGGGAGAUAUUCAUAAGUAUAUGAUAAGACGAAAUAACUCUAGUAUAGUUAAAAAUACGUUUAAUAAUGAAUUGGAAUAUAAGCAACAAUUUCAUAUAUCUAACAACCUAGAAGAGAUACUAGAACAUCUUCGAUACCUGUGUAAAAAAGAAAAACCACACGAGUAAGAUAAAACAUACAUACGUAUACACUAGUUUUUAACCUUCGACAGAAACACUGAAAGCCGAAUAUUUGAAACCCAAGGAUGUGAAAAUAUUCUCUUUCCGAAAAAGGAAUAACUCCUUUAGUAGGAAAUAAAAUAUGGGCUAUGUUGUCAGUCGCCGAUUCGUUCAUUGAUUAUCAACAUGCUCGAAGGAAGUUUUGCAAUGUUCAGGGUAAAUUGGAAAUCAAACUUAAAGUAGCCAUUUGUUGGCUGUUAAUUGCAAAAAAAAUAGUUAUUGUUAUUCAUUAAAAACAGGAAUCUAUGAUAAAACAUGUGAAACUACAUAUUUUUCUAUUGACCACUAUCUUUUUUGCAGAAAUUGUUUUAAAAAUUCGUUUUUUUUCCUUAAUGUAUGUUGAUAUGUGAUAUAUAACUCUGACCAUUAAUUUCUAACUUUUUGGUCUAUGAUUAAAAAUGUUUUUAUUAGAUAUAGGAAGAUGUGGUAUGAAUGUCAAAGAGACAACUUUCCAUCCAAAUUAAAUAACAAUUUAUAAAAGUAAACCAUAACAGUUCAAUGUACGACCUUCAACACGGAGCCUUGUAUUAGGUUCAUUUCUUUAAAGUGUUACCAAAUUGAGUAAGUAUAAAUAGUGCAGCAGCCUUCCAAUCUAAACAAAAAACAGAACACAUGUGCUUUAAAUGUUUGUUUGUUUGUACCAUGUGACUUUAAAUAUAACGAUCACCUUACCUGACAAAAAAAAAGACUUUUAGCAGGGAUGGGCACGAUUACUGACACAUGUAGUCUAUUAAUAAUCGAUUACAUGAAGGAUGUUUGUGCAAUCGAUUUAUAAUCGAUUCCUCACAUCUUUGUCAAAAGUAAUUACAUUUCUUUUCUAUUACUGUCAAAAACAUGCUUAAAAAACAAAAAAAAAAUAAAAUUAAACACAAUAAUGCUGCUCAACGUUUGUAUAUUGGAAAUUUAGAAGCAAUUCUUGGGAGUUUACACCAUUCAAGGGCUAUAAAUUAUAAUUUAUAGGUCUUCAUUAUUGUAACUUUCCAAAGUAAAAUGUUCUCAUUUAAAAAAAAUGCUUUUCUUAAGACUUUGCUUCCAAGAUGUUUAUUUUGUAAAUAAACAAAUAAUUAAAUGUAUAAAUGUAUAUAAAUUUUAUUCUGUUUUUGAUAAACCUAUUAAGAGCCUCUUUGCCUGGUUAUGAAACUCACCAUGAUAAAGAAUGAAGAGCUUGCUUAUAUAUGAGUUAUCGAAAUAGUUGAUUAAUCGAAGACAAAAAAACAUUAGUGAAUAUAUAAGUAAGUUAAUAUCAGAUCAAUAAUCAAAAUUUUAAAUUCAAGUGACGAUCCUUUUUAUUGGUGUCCUUUGAUAUUUGAAUAGGUAAAAUCACCUGGUAUAAAACACACACAUUCAAAGCACAUGUUUUUUUUGUUUUGUGUUGGUUGGAAGACUGUUACACUAUUCAUACUCACUCCAUCAGGUGUUCAAAAAAUGAAAACAAAUACCAGAGACCUUAUGAAACUCUUAUAUAAUUACAGACCACUUAUUCUGUAGCUAGUAGUUCGAGUUAGUAUCUUAACAUAAAAAUAUGGAUUUUUAAGAAUUUUUUAUAUGGGAGUCAAAUGGACAGUACUACAGUAUUCUACAUAAGUUAUUAGAAUACUUGUUAUUUGUGUUUCCCUAAGGUUUAGUUUGUAACCCAAAUUUGGUAUCUUUUAAUUAUGUAUGACUUUUGAACACCGGUAUACUACCUUUAUAUUUAUUUAUGAUAUAAUUUAGAUAUAUAUUUAUAACACAAUUGAUUCAGUUAAUUAAAAACUGAUUCUCAUAAUUGCGACUUCUGAUCUUUUUUUACUCUCUGUACAAGGGUUCUGCUAUCUGAACAAUAUGUAAUAUAUGUAUUACAUGAAAGAAUCCUAUGAAACAUCUUAAAACUAGACCGUUUUAAAAACGAAGUUCUGGUUUUCAUUAAAGUCAUUAAGUAAACCGGAUUUCAUUCUUCAAUGUGUAUAUUCAAAUAUAUUUCCAAUUUACUAAGGGUAGAUGAAGGUUAUACUAACUUUUCUUCGAAAAAUAAUUUAAUGAAAUAUUUACAGGAUCUUUCAUUUUAUUUACCUUUUUUUCAACAUUGUCCAAUUUACUUUACCUUCUAUCCUAUUUAUUCAUCUAUUUGGAAUUGCGUCUUCAAUACAACAACACUCUUAACAAUUGUAUUGUUAAAAUUGAAAAUGGAAAUGGGGAAUAUGCCAAAGAGACAACAACCCGACCAUAGAAAAAACUACAGCAGAAGGUCACCAACAGGUCUUCAAUGUAGCGAGAAUUCCCGCACCCGGAGGCGUCCUUCAGCUGGCCCCUAAACAAAUAUAUACUAGUUUAGUGAUAAUGAACGCCAUACUAAUUUCCAAAUUGUACACAAGAAACUAAAAUUAAAAUAAUACCAGACUAACAAAGGCCAGAGGCUCCUGACUUGGGACAGGCGCAAAAAUGCGGCGGGGUUAAACAUGUUUGUGAGAUCUCAACCCCCCCCUAUACCUCUAGCCAAUGUAGAAAAGUAAACGCAUAACAAUACGCACAUUAAAAUUCAGUUCAAGAGAAGUCCGAGUCUGAUGUCAGAAGAUGUAACCAAAGAAAAUAAACAAAAUGACAAUAAUACAUAAAUAACAACAGACUACUAGCAGUUAACUGACAUGCCAGCUCCAGACUUCAUUAGUAUACUUUUGAUUUUAUUCUCCAUAUGAGAAUAGUGUAAGAUUAUCUACAACCAGAUCAGUAAUAAAUAAUAUACAACUGUCAUAGACUUUAAACUGAAUACGUUGAUAUUUUUACCCGGAUACAAUGCCAAUUGUUAUUUAUGUAUUUUAUCCGCAAAAUAAAAAAAAAACUCUUGACUUAAGUUUAAAACUUUUUCAACAUUGUAACAUAGAACGUAGCAGUAAAGCGUUUAAAGGUGAAUAAAUGUUUGGAUCUAAUAAAAUUUAUAUCAAGGUCAUAUUACACUAUACUAAAACUAGAUAAUGUGUAGGAAUUUUAAGACCGGCAUCACAGUGUUUGGACCAUUAACACUGAAAGACUGAUCUCUUGAUUGUUGUCUGUCAAACCAUUUAGUCCAGCAAAUUCUAGAAAUUUAUCAAACAAAUGCUAAUAUUGAUUUAGGGACUUUUGCACACAAUUCAGAACUAAGAAAAUGUGAACAUUUGAAAUGUUACAACAAUUUAUAUUCAUAUUAUUAUAGAUUAACUUUAGAGACAGUUUUGACAAAAAGUGUGUUGUAAGCAUAAAAUCAACUUACGAAUGUUCAGAGAAUGCUGAAUUGUUUUAAAUGUCAAUUAUAAUUACAUACGUGAUCCAGUGACACAUAUCUUAAACUAGUUAUUGUGUAAACUUUCUAUAUAACUAUUGUUUACUUCUUUAAUCAAGUUUACACAAUGUUGUAUCUUAUGAUGUAUAAAUUUGAAAAUAACCAAAAUGGAGUAAUGUACAAUUGUUUUAAUGAUAACUUCAUUUAUUUUUGUUUAUUUACAGCAUUAAUAAAAGUUGUUCAUACCAUUCAAACACUUGUGAUUGUGUGUCUUGUUGCUGCUGUUGUUGUUGUUACUCUGAAAUUGUACGUCUUCACAGAAAGCCCAGAUAUCAUAUGGAUUGCCGUUGGAUGUAUAGUGGUCGCAG
This 6728-nucleotide long non-coding RNA is filed under the name Mytilus galloprovincialis (Mediterranean mussel). The record is from RNAcentral. Lineage: Eukaryota; Metazoa; Mollusca; Bivalvia; Mytilida; Mytilidae.